CCAACCUAGUAUUAGAGGUCCUGCCUGCCCAGUGAAUAUACUUUCAACGGCCGCGGUAUCCUAACCGUGCAAAGGUAGCGUAAUCACUUGUCCCUUAAUUAAGGACCCGUAUGAACGGCUAACCGAGAGUACCCCUGUCUCCUAGAGCCAUAAAAUGAAACUGAGCUCCCAGUACAAACGCCGGGAUGCUACCAUAAGACGAGAAGACCCUGUGGAGCUUAUAAACUCAACCGCUACAAACCCUACAACCCUUUACUAACUAGUAAUAAAACCAAACCCUUAGCGGCCAUUUUAAGUUGGGGCGACUACGGAGCAAAAGAAAACCUCCAUGAACCAGGACUUCCCUCCCUCAAAGACCUACAACCCAAUGAGAUAUACAAAACCCACGGACCCAGUACCACUGAUCACCGAACCAAGUUACCCCAGGGAUAACAGCGCUAUCCUCUUCAAGAGCCCCUAUCGCCAAGAGGGUUUACGACCUCGAUGUUGGAUCAGGACCCCCCGGUGGUGUAGCCGCUACUAAAGGUUCGUUUGUUCAACGAUUAAUGUCCU
RNAcentral lists this ribosomal RNA (552 nucleotides) under Trachydactylus spatalurus (spacious rock gecko). Its description in RNAcentral is "partial 16S large subunit ribosomal RNA". It matches the Rfam family "Bacterial large subunit ribosomal RNA", at positions 1835 to 2597 of the family's 2925-position model. Lineage: Eukaryota; Metazoa; Chordata; Lepidosauria; Squamata; Gekkonidae. The record is from RNAcentral.